This 99-nucleotide transfer RNA is filed under the name Pseudomonadota bacterium. RNAcentral's name for it is "Proteobacteria bacterium tRNA-Sec". It matches the Rfam family "Selenocysteine transfer RNA". Lineage: Bacteria; Pseudomonadati; Pseudomonadota. The record is from RNAcentral. RNAcentral also lists the same sequence under 1 other name.
GGCGGGGUUCCCGCGGCUGGUGCCCGGCGCGGUCUUCAAAACCGUUGAAGAGCGUGGCGACACGUUCUUGGCGGGUUCGAUUCCCGUCCCCCGCCGCCA